UUGCACACGCCUCGCAUCGCAGUCUCCCCCAUUAUGUGUGCMCAAUUGUCAGGGGSUGUUUUCUCAGUUCCCCUUGUUUAUCCAUUUGGUUGCGGGGCGCCUCAAUGGGUGCCUGUGCGGUCUUACCGUCGUUGGUACCACAAUGUUCCCUCUGUUUCGUAUUAUGCUUGCUCCGUCGAUGCUAUAUGCAUCGAUGGGCGGCCGAGGUGUUGGCAAAUUCUGUGCGCUGCGAUGCACUUUGUGCGUCGGAACUGCUUAUCGGAUGUUUGUCGGGUCUCACGGAUAUCAGUCCAUAUGUGAGGGGUCUGCGGGCUUCAAGCGUGCAGGCUCAUGGUGUUGCCCGUACACAAAUUUGUUGCUGAUGGUGACUUGACACGUGUUCCUUUGGGAUUCAUGUCGAUGAAACAUCAGCAACAAAUUUGUGAGCGUGUGCAUAUCCUUACCGACUAGAAUGAUAUGCGAUUGCCGGAAUUGUCACGGGGCG
This 484-nucleotide unclassified non-coding RNA is filed under the name Cyperus leptocarpus. RNAcentral's name for it is "partial contains ETS1f and partial 18S rRNA gene, ETS1f, and partial 18S rRNA gene". The record is from RNAcentral. Lineage: Eukaryota; Viridiplantae; Streptophyta; Magnoliopsida; Poales; Cyperaceae.